RNAcentral lists this transfer RNA (78 nucleotides) under Agrobacterium tumefaciens. Its description in RNAcentral is "tRNA-Pro". It matches the Rfam family "tRNA". Rfam says of the family: Transfer RNA (tRNA) molecules are approximately 80 nucleotides in length. Their secondary structure includes four short double-helical elements and three loops (D, anti-codon, and T loops). Further hydrogen bonds mediate the characteristic L-shaped molecular structure. tRNAs have two regions of fundamental functional importance: the anti-codon, which is responsible for specific mRNA codon recognition, and the 3' end, to which the tRNAs corresponding amino acid is attached (by aminoacyl-tRNA synthetases). tRNAs cope with the degeneracy of the genetic code in two manners: having more than one tRNA (with a specific anti-codon) for a particular amino acid; and 'wobble' base-pairing, i.e. permitting non-standard base-pairing at the 3rd anti-codon position. Lineage: Bacteria; Pseudomonadati; Pseudomonadota; Alphaproteobacteria; Hyphomicrobiales; Rhizobiaceae. RNAcentral also lists the same sequence under 8 other names. The record is from RNAcentral.
CUGUGUGUAGCUCAGUCUGGUCAGAGUACCGCACUUGGACUGCGGGAGCCGCUGGUUCGAAUCCAGCCACGCAGACCA